RNAcentral lists this ribosomal RNA (301 nucleotides) under uncultured bacterium. Its description in RNAcentral is "partial 16S ribosomal RNA". It matches the Rfam family "Bacterial small subunit ribosomal RNA", at positions 509 to 807 of the family's 1533-position model. The record is from RNAcentral.
CAGUCGCCACGGUAAUACGAAGGGUGCAAGCGUUAAUCGGAAUUACUGGGCGUAAAGCGUGCGCAGGCGGUUUGUUAAGACAGAUGUGAAAUCCCCGGGCUCAACCUGGGAACUGCAUUUGUGACUGGCAAGCUAGAGUGUGGCAGAGGGGGGUGGAAUUCCGCGUGUAGCAGUGAAAUGCGUAGAUAUGCGGAGGAACACCGAUGGCGAAGGCAGCCCCCUGGGCCAACACUGACGCUCAUGCACGAAAGCGUGGGGAGCAAACAGGAUUAGAUACCCGCGUAGUCCCUGUCUCUUAUAC